GAAGGCGAGGGGGCGGCGGUGGUGGUGAUGGCAGAGGGUGGGGGAAAGGGAGGUGGCGACGGUGGAGGUGGCAGGGAGCGGCGCCGGGUAGGGGAAGGGGGAGUUAGGGUUUGGAGGGGGGGAUUUUCCUUUUCUUUUUCUUUUUCUUUUUAAUUUUUUUUCAUAUGUCACAAAAGUGCGCACCAUGUUGAUUUUCGGCUGCCACCUCAUCAAUUCCGGCUGCCACAGUGACAUUUCCGGCGCCGGUGUAAGUAAAAACCGGUCACCGGACAAAUUUGAGACAAAAAUGAA
This 291-nucleotide long non-coding RNA is filed under the name Salvia miltiorrhiza (redroot sage). RNAcentral describes it as "long non-coding RNA (SMIL_LNC012931)". Lineage: Eukaryota; Viridiplantae; Streptophyta; Magnoliopsida; Lamiales; Lamiaceae. The record is from RNAcentral.